This 253-nucleotide ribosomal RNA is filed under the name uncultured bacterium. Its description in RNAcentral is "partial 16S ribosomal RNA". It matches the Rfam family "Bacterial small subunit ribosomal RNA", at positions 524 to 776 of the family's 1533-position model. The record is from RNAcentral.
UACAGAGGGUGCGAGCGUUGUCCGGAAUCACUGGGCGUAAAGGGCGCGUAGGCGGCUUUUCAAGCGUGCGGUGAAAGCUCGGGGCUUAACUCCGAGUCUGCCGUGCGAACUGGGAGGCUUGAGUCUGGUAGAGGUCGAUGGAAUUCCGGGUGUAGCGGUGGAAUGCGUAGAGAUCCGGAAGAACACCGGUGGCGAAGGCGGUCGACUGGGCCAGAACUGACGCUGAGGCGCGACAGCGUGGGGAGCAAACAGG